Carassius carassius (crucian carp) is the source of this 2222-nucleotide long non-coding RNA. RefSeq lists it as uncharacterized. The record is from RefSeq and is a predicted model, not a curated record. The transcript has 4 exons. NCBI's taxonomy places the organism in Eukaryota, Metazoa, Chordata, Actinopteri, Cypriniformes, Cyprinidae.
UAGGGAGUCAAACAGACCUUGAUGUGUGUCAUAUGCUGUUCUCUUCUCUUCUGUUCUACUCUGUAGCGGCCUCUCCACCGGACGGUCUGUACUAUGGUGCACUUAUGAUCAUGUUUUAGUGCUUUUAUUAUCAUGCAAUGUAACCAUGUUGAUGUUGGCACUGGAGCGUUUUUUCAUGCAGAAGAGCAGCAUGCUCUGUUAUGAAGAGUGUUGCUGUAAACUAUUUGAAUGACAGUAUUUAAUAUAUUCGUAAUCGGUUACUUCCCUUGCAAUCACUGUCUAAUUAUUUACCAACGUUGAAAACAUUCCUCAGUGAAAGAGGUGUCAAACCUGCAGAUAUCCUUGUGUUUAAAUGUUCGAGAAGACUCAGAAAAGCCUCUUGUUUGGCGUCAAGAUCAAUUGAGAGUUGCACAUGCACUUUAUUUCUUUGCUCAUGAAGGUGUACAGCUGGGGUAGAAUUUCAAAGGGCUUACUAAACUAUUUUUGCUCCUAAAAUUGGUUGUCGAAAAGUGAAGGUACUCUUGUUGUACACUGAGAAACAUCUCUCAAACACUAUUAACACCGAAAAAGAGCACACUGACAGCCCCUUAAUGACUCUUAAACUACUGUUUCCAAAUAAUUGGUGAUAGACUUGUCUGCAUUGUUUAAUUUUAAAUUGCAGUUUUGUAUAUUAUGUGUUUUUAUAUCUAUAAGUGAAAGAUUGUAUUGAUGUUGAUCACCUGUUUGUUUUUUUCUUCCUUCUUUUUUUUUUUUAAACACUACUAUUCAUUCUUGGUCAUUUAAUUCCUUUAACAUACUAUUAUUUAUUUUAAAUAAGACUGAGAAUUAAUAAAUAUUUCAAGUCAAUAAAUUCAUUCUCAAUUUUUUUCCCCUCAUUUAUUGUCAUCUUUCUUCCACUUUAUUUUUACACUUUAACACCUCUUGCAUUUUUCAGUAAGUUAGCUUGCCUCAUAAUAAUGAAUAUUAGUAACAAGUGUUGAGCAUGGUACAAAAUUGACUUUACAUUAAUUUUCAUGUCAUCAGUUGAUCAACUGACUGCAAGAAAAGAUGGUAGUUUAAUUAUGUGUGAUCUCCUGAUGGGCGUCCCAACUUUUGUCAACUGGAACACCACAGGCUGUGCCUCAUCGACGAGCACUGUAUCCUUGACAGUCCACUGAAGACAUAUUUGUAUCCUGGCAACGGCAGUUUAUCCUCAGCGGGGGCUUUACAAGUCAGGCAUUCGGUGGAUGGAUGCUCAUUAGACAGGAACUCCGAAUAUCUUGUUAUUUGAUCUUUCUCAGUAUGCGCGCUCUUUUUAUUUUUGUGGCGUUCCAGUGCAUACUGUAUGUGAGGCAUGGUGUCAGUCCUGUAUAUACACAGAAACAGACUAUGUUUGCAAAGAGAUCCCAAAAGAUUAUCCUGCUGGGUUGACCUCUGUGAUUAUCUUUGUGAGUGGUUUAGGAGAAAUCGGCUUGUCUGUGUUUAACAGCACAAAUCUGACAUCUGUGAACAGUCUGACUAAGGCAGACCAAGGCAUCACAGCAAUAGGACCGCAGACCUUUGAUAAGUUUCAAAACCUCAAAACUCUCAAUUUGGACAAUAAUCAUCUCUCCCAAGUCUCAUCAGACUGGUUCAGCCAUCAGGUUACACUUGAGAGACUCAGACUGUCAAAUAAUAAAAUCACUACACUGGAUCAUAAUUCUCUUGAUGGGCUGCCAAACCUGCUCACCCUAGACUUGUCUCAGAACCAGAUUCACACUCUAACCCCAAGCAGUCGUCUUGGUCUCCGUAAAUUGAGGCAGUUAGACCUCUCCAACAACUGACACAUUUGAGUAUGGAUGUGUUUCUUACACUUAACAGCACAAAGAUCCAUUUGGAUGGAAAUCCUUGGGACUGCUCCUGCUCUGUUAACGACUUUGCCAAAUAACUGAGAAGUCUGCAGAAUGCUUCUCUUCUGGAGAACGAGAUGCAGGUGUGCUGUAAUAGCCCUCCUGAUUUGAAAGGGAAGCCAGUAUGGCAGGUCCCAGAGUGUAAAACCCUCACAAAAAUGAGCUCUACCACUGUGAGCCUGACCAUUGGAAGUCCUGACACCGUGAACCCUGCCACUGUAUUAAUAACCAAACCUCUUACAAUCGAACACUCAACUUUAAUCAUUUUAAUUGGUAGGUGGAACUAAUUGAUUUCCCAAAUUCAGCCCUCAUAUCCAGGAGCUUAUUUUGUGGAUGACUAACCUUUUAUUAUGU